RNAcentral lists this ribosomal RNA (492 nucleotides) under uncultured bacterium. RNAcentral describes it as "partial 16S ribosomal RNA". It matches the Rfam family "Bacterial small subunit ribosomal RNA", at positions 29 to 507 of the family's 1533-position model. The record is from RNAcentral.
AGUGAACGCUGGCGGUAGGCCUAACACAUGCAAGUCGGACGGCAGCACAGUAAGAGCUUGCUCUUACGGGUGGCGAGUGGCGGACGGGUGAGGAAUACAUCGGAAUCUACUUUUUCGUGGGGGAUAACGUAGGGAAACUUACGCUAAUGCCGCAUACGACCUACGGGUGAAAGCAGGGGAUCUUCGGACCUUGCGCGAUUGAAUGAGCCGAUGUCGGAUUAGCUAGUUGGCGGGGUAAAGGCCCACCAAGGCGACGAUCCGUAGCUGGUCUGAGAGGAUGAUCAGCCACACUGGAACUGAGACACGGUCCAGACUCCUACGGGAGGCAGCAGUGGGGAAUAUUGGACAAAGGGCGCAAGCCUGAUCCAGCCAUACCGCGUGGGUGAAGAAGGCCUUCGGGUUGUAAAGCCCUUUUGUUGGGAAAGAAAAGCAGCAGGUUAAUACCCCGCUGUUCUGACGGUACCCAAAGAAUAAGCACCGGCUAACUUCGUG